This is a long non-coding RNA of Brassica napus (rape), 3374 nucleotides long. RefSeq lists it as uncharacterized. The record is from RefSeq and is a predicted model, not a curated record. The transcript is spliced from 5 exons. NCBI's taxonomy places the organism in Eukaryota, Viridiplantae, Streptophyta, Magnoliopsida, Brassicales, Brassicaceae.
GAUAUAUUUGUAUAUAAAAUUUUGAAAUCAAUGAUAUAAUAUAGACAACUGUAACGAAAGUUUAUUAUGUAAAACCUAUUCACAAUAUUAAGUACUAGGAUGAGACCUGCGCCUUGCGCAGGGUGUAAAUAAUAUUUGUUUUUUUUUCUCGAAACAUAUUCACGGUUUCAUAACAUUUUGAAAUCUAUGAUAUAAUAUAGACAACUGUAACGAAAGUUUAUUAUGUGAAACCUAUUCACAAUAUUAACUACUGAGACCUGCGCCUUGCGUAUGGUAAAAAUAAUAUUUUUUUUUUCUCGAAACAUUUUCACGGUUUCAUAACAAAAAUUAUAAAUAAAUACAGAUCAAUAAUAAGGCAUAAAAAUUAUGUAUAAUUUAUGAAAAAAAUUAUUAUAUAAAGAAGGGUUUCCUUUACUCUCAGUCCUCCACGUCACUAAUUCAUCUCUUCCUAGCUUGACACGUGUUUCUUUUUUAAUUUUCUACGUUUUGGGCUUUUAUUCGUGGGCUUAAUGAAUUGAAUCGAAUGGGCCUUUGAAGUUUGUAACGUGAUCUGGUCAAAACCUAUUUUCUAAACCGGACAAAGGCACUCUUCGUCUUCAACAAUUUCCAUCUUCGUUUUCUAGGGUUCUUGGUGUUCUUCACCUUCAACUUUCGAAAACCGACCAUGGAGUUUGUUGAAGAUGAUGGGAGAUGAGUUUUUAUGGCUGUCUCUGUGGCGUUAACCUUUUCGUGUCCUUUGGAUUGGAUUUCUUACGCGAGGUAAGGGAAAUUCGAAUCGUUACGGGAUACACAAGAUGCAAUCAAUAGUUUUCGUUAUCGAUCGUCUUAACUCCUUAAUCCCACUUUUACCACGCUUCCUCAUUCAAUGUAUCUGCCCUCUCUUACAGUCGGUGAAUUUCCAUGUGUAAAAAGAACGGCUAACUUAUCUCUCCUCCUUGCUGACUUUAACCAGUUGCUGAAGCAUCGCCGUCGUCCUCUCAGAUUUUGGGAGACCAGAUAUGUGAAUAGAGACGGAAAGCUUACAGUGGUCGAAAUGCUUCUUGACGCUUAGAUGCCAGACGCUUACGUACCUCAGGCUAUUUUGAAAAACAAACGCCUCCCUUUUCCUUUAGGAUUUAUAGGUAACGUUAUGAUUAAUAUUCUAUGGUUGAUGGUGUUCUGGAGAUUCUGAUUUCAUAAAUCGACCAUGGAGUUUUCAAAAGGUCCAUAGAGGUCUUACCACAAUGUACCAAACAUUGCAACAUUAGUUGAUAAAUAAAAUUUAAAAACACAUGUCCACUGAAUCACUUUUAUUUUUUGAAUCUUAUCUUAUUAUAUAAAGAAGACUAUUUCUCAUUCUCCUUGCGCCACGUUACUAAAUAGAAGAAGAAGGGAAUGCCAUGUGGCGCUGAUAAUAAUAGGCGAGCUUUGAUUCUUCUCGGGUUUUAAAGGGGCUUCAUAUGUUGUCAUGCUUCUAAUUUUUUAAGGGCCUGAAUUGGACUCGAAUUUAGGCCUUCUAUAGAUAAGGUCUUCCUCUUGGACAUUCUGCUGUCUCCACAAAAAUUUCUCUCGCCCUAAGUUCUGAUUCAGUUCAGUUUACCUGUGAAAAAAAAUCUGGAAACGUUACGUAGUUACUCAGAAUCGAAGCCUCACCUUCAACGACCUUAUUAACAAUUCUUCUCCACUCCUCACACUAUCUAUCACUAAAUGCAUCCUCCUUUACUUCAUUUCUCAGAAUCUUUGACUAUAAAAAGAUUGACAGAGGAUACCCGCGCGAUUUCAUGGAAGUUGGGAGAGUUGUAGUUCAGUUGAAAAGGGAGGAUGAGACUUUACUCAAUCCUGCCAUUAAUUCAAGUAACAUCACCUCACGUGAACCGAGCUUCUGGUUAUGUGUAUACCUGUCUAAAAGUUAGAAGUCCGUCUUCAUUCACCCAGAAAAUACUAACAUGGAUGGGACUUUCUUUCUGUUCUUUAGACUGGUUGUGAGGGACCUAAAACCAAUCCCAAGUUAUUAAUUGUUCUUCAAAUGACUUUGCUUACGUUAAUCAUCCUAUCCUUAUCCCCAUGAAAAGAGUGAGUAUUUGAUAUCCAAAUCAUAUUCUCAUGCCUAUGAAAGACUGAACAUUUGAUAUCAAUUUGACUUUCCAGCUUUACAUGCGGCGAGGUGUUUAAAUACAUGAUAUGUUCACUGUCUUGAAAUAUUUUUGGGAAGCAAUUGCUGCAGAUAAUUGCAGAGUUGGUACCGAGACAUCCUAGAAAGUGAAGAAGCAGGAAUCUCAGAAAGUGAAGUGUCAGAAACCUCAUGCCACAAAUUCAACCGCUGGAACUUCUUCAAAGUCAGGCUAAGGUGGCAAGAAGAAGUGAUAAGCAAGUCCUCUCUAUCUCUUUUAUUAAUUUUCUUGGACAUCGCAUCAGCUUCUACGGUUUGUUAAUGUCCAAAACUUGCUGAAACCCAAGUUGUGUUUGCUGAUGUAAAAAAAUUUGUUGGUUUCAUCACGAAUGACGAGUGUCAAAAACAAAAGAAAUAUAAAAUAUUAUUAGCUGUUGUGUCUGCGUUAUCAACGUUUUUCUUUUUUUCCUUCACUAACUAUUAGAAAACACUGUUUUUUUUUUUGAGCAAACUUAGAAAACACUGUUUAUUUCAACUAUUCAAACGAUAAAUUUAAGAUAUCUUCCCAUAACAAUUAACAAAAUAGCGCUUGGACAUUAACAAAGCACUAUAUCAGUCAGAUAUGAAUUUGACCCCCUUUGUGCUUGAAGAAGUUCUUGAUUAUGUAAAAUAUACUAUUGUAGAUGAUCUUUGGUCAGCACAAUUUUAAUGACUCUACACGAUUUUCCAUUGCGUGAAUUGCAUAUUUAAAUUGUUUUCUUAAAGUGUUGAUAUGUACUUCAUGCAUUCAUAUGUCUGUUGUCAGUUUUCUAGGCUGGUGAUCUUUUUGCGUCAGCCCGUAGACACCCUCGAGGCUCCUUUGCUGCAGGAAGAGAAAUCUAUUGAUCCAACAAAGCAAGUAUAGCUUGGAUUCCUCACUGGGCUGGUGCCUCGCGAAAAGUCUAUGAUGUUUGAGAGGAUCUUAUUUAGCUCAACUUGGGCAAUAUCUUAAUAUGACAGUCUGUCAUUGAGGAGUUCGUUGUUGGUACCAACUCUGGGGAGAAGAUUAACUUCUUAGUUUCUACUCUUAGCUUCUUAGACCUUAAAAGUGCAGCCUUUUUUCUAUUGUAGGAGUUUGGCUGCUUUUUAAUGUAUAUAAUAUUUUCUCCCAUAGGCUUAUAGUUAGACUCUAAAUUCUAUAUGUAAUUUAUACGUUCUCAUCUGCAUUUGUUUAUAUUUGACAUUGGUUUGGCCCUGUUGUUUUAUUUUGUUUUGUUGAUCUACCUAGCCAAGAAUAGUUUUACAA